RNAcentral lists this ribosomal RNA (253 nucleotides) under uncultured bacterium. RNAcentral describes it as "partial 16S ribosomal RNA". It matches the Rfam family "Bacterial small subunit ribosomal RNA", at positions 524 to 776 of the family's 1533-position model. The record is from RNAcentral.
UACGAGGGGGGCAAAUGUUGUUCGGAAUCACUGGGCGUAAAGGGAGCGUAGGUGGGUGUUUAAGUUAGGUGUUUAAUCCUGGGGCCCAACCCCAGUCGUGCACCUAAAACUGGACAUCUUGAAUAGUGGAGAGGUCAGUGGAAUUGGGGGUGUAGCGGUGGAAUGCGUAGAGAUCCCCAAGAACACCAGUUGCGAAGGCGGCUGACUGGACACAUAUUGACGCUGAGGCUCGAAAGCAUGGGGAGCAAACAGG